RNAcentral lists this long non-coding RNA (1439 nucleotides) under Gossypium barbadense (sea-island cotton). Its description in RNAcentral is "long non-coding RNA (GBAR_LNC009890)". Lineage: Eukaryota; Viridiplantae; Streptophyta; Magnoliopsida; Malvales; Malvaceae. The record is from RNAcentral.
AAGAAACAGAAUGAAAGCAAACGAAACAGAGAAGAAACAGGGGAGAAAGAAAGAAAGAAAAAGAAAAAGGAAAAUUUGGGUUUCAAGGCUCAAAGUUUAAUUUGAAAUCUCGGCUAAGAAAGGACAAGACAAAGUCAACGGGAGUUAGCUCGAAAAUUACGGUUUGUAUUUCUAUAAUCCGAACUUAAUACUUAAUUGUUGAAUUUAUUUCUUAAUAUGUAUAUUAAGUGUUUUGAAGUAAGAAUUAUUGUGUUUUGCAAAUGAAAUGGAUUGAUAUAGUAUGUGAUGAAAUUAUUGAAUUUAUAUUGAUUGAAUUGGCGUAUAUAUAUAGAUAUAUAUAUUGAAUAUUGAAUAUAUAUUGAUUAUUUGAAUUGAAUUGAAAUAUAAAUUGUUGAAAAUUUUAAAUAUGAGAUUUGUGAUAUUUGGAUAUUUGUUAUUGAAAAGUGAAUUGAAUUGUAUUGAAUUAUGAAUUUAUGUGAUUGAUUAAAAUGUGUAUUGAUUGAAAAAAAUCGAAAGUGAAUUGAAUACCCUAUUAACAGUAUCGGGCUGAGUCGGAUAUAGUUGGCAUGCCAUAGGAUUGGAAGUGUUCAGGGAUUCUUCGACCUCGAGUCGAUGAGACACUGGGUGUCACUAUAUUUCUUCGGAUAGAUUCGAUGAGGUACUGGGUACCAACUUUACUUCGGCUAGGCCGAUGAGACACUGGGUGUCAAAUAUUGCUUCGAACUAUCCGAUGAGGCACUGGGUGCCAUAUUGGUGUGUUUGGUUGGAUCCGUGUAUCCGCCAAGGUCCGAGUCUUGUUAAUAGGGGUAAAUAAGUGAAAAGAUAAGUCGAGUGAAUUUGAUUGAUUGAGCUAUUGGAAUGAAAUGAGAAAUUGAAUUGAGAAUUGAAAUUGAGAUAUGAGAUUGAAAACAUGAACCAAAAAGUUCAUGAAAUGAGUGAAGUUCAAAUGGAUGAUGAUUGAUGUUAAAAUGAAUUAAAAUGGUAUAUUGUUAAGAAAUAAAGUGUGAAAACAAGUGAAUUGUGAAUAUAUUGUAUAGAAUUUAUACGGUAAGUAAAUUAAAAGAAUUGAACAAAUAUGUUAUUGUGUUUGUUAUAUGACUUGUAUAGAAUUUAUAUGGUAAGUAAUUGAAAAUUUAUCUAUAAAACAAAUAAAUGAAUACUUAUAAUUGUUAUUGUGAUUUUAAGUUUAAUUGUUAUAUUAUUAAGUGUUCGGAUUAUGGAAAUACCACUGAGUAUACCAUACUCAGCGUACGGUUUGUUUCCGUGCGCAGGUUUAGUAAAGAUAGAACGUUGAAUCAGCAUCCCAGUUCGAUCCCGAAUUCAUUAAGGUAAAGUGUGUUAAUUAUUGGUAAUGGCAUGUACCUAGGAUGUUUUAUGAGAGUCAUUUAGGUUGUAGAUGUACUCAUGAAAUGAGUAAAUUAUGGUUGGCAACGGUAUGU